Non-coding RNA from Phoenix dactylifera (date palm), 610 nucleotides. The record is from RefSeq and is a predicted model, not a curated record. NCBI's taxonomy places the organism in Eukaryota, Viridiplantae, Streptophyta, Magnoliopsida, Arecales, Arecaceae.
UCUAAAGCCAAGCCCUGGUACGAGAGCAGGCGAUAACCGGAGAAGGCAACGCCUGCCUCUUUUCUGGGCUUCACUCGCCAAAGGUGGAAAAAUUCGUGUUCGAUGGUUCAAAGGAUGCAAAAUCCUUUUCUCGUAUAUUUGCCAAUCAGAUCUGGUGUACUAUUGUUCUUAAUAGAAGCAAAGAAGAAUUAAUCAAGCUGAUCCAAAUAGAUUGGGCCUGAGCAGGAGAUGGCACUGGUCGAGCAUUUGAAGGGCAUGUCUCCAUUUGUCGCUGCUCAAAGUAAACUCGUACCGCUGUUGAAAGCUCUUGUGAAGCUGGGAAAGGAGGAAGUCGCUCAGCAAAUGCAAUCUGUGGGAGAUAGUUUCAAUUGGCUCGACAAGGAGUUGUGAAACUGGCUGAAGUUCUUGCUCUUCUUGUUGUUAUUGUUGAUGAUAAGGGAGGUAAACUACCACCUGACUUUUACUGCUGAAUAGUGCCAUAUUGGCUAUGCUGAAAAAGACCUUAGAUAUUUACAUAGGGCAAAUAAUUGAGUAAUAUCUUUUAACUAGUUUUUUUUUGGGCGAGAUUCUGGAUCAUUACAAAUGGUAUAAGAGCAGACUCGGUUCAUAA